Molecule: ribosomal RNA, 254 nt
Filed under: uncultured bacterium
Lineage: Bacteria
Description: partial 16S ribosomal RNA
Rfam family: Bacterial small subunit ribosomal RNA
Source: RNAcentral
UACGGAGGGGGCUAGCGUUGUUCGGAAUUACUGGGCGUAAAGGGCGCGCAGGCGGCUGCUCAAGUCAGGCGUGAAAGGCCUGGGCUCAACCCGGGAAUUGCGCUUGAGACUGGGCUGGCUUGAGUGCGGGAGAGGAUGGUGGAAUUCCCAGUGUAGCGGUGAAAUGCGUAGAUAUUGGGAGGAACACCAGUGGCGAAGGCGGCUACCUGGACCGGUUCUGACGCUGAGGCGCGAAAGCGUGGGUAGCAAACAGG